GGGCACACUGGAAGCUCAUUGUUGAUCUUUGCUGUAGGCAGGUUAGGAUGUGGAAGUCUGCAUUGCUAAGCCCUUGCACAUCUCCCACUUCUGCCACUUUGAUCAUCUUUUCCUAAGAGUUUUUGAGAUAAGGAUGGGGCCACAGGAGAAAGAAGCUGACUGAAUUAGACAGAACAGGUCAUCUUGUCCAUAUGACAAUUAAGAUUUUUCUCUGCUGAGGUUUCUCAUUGCUGAACAGUCACAUGAAAUACCUUCAUACCUGUGCCCGUUCAGAGAUCUGUCCAUAUAGACCUAUUCCUCAGACUUCUUUGGCAGCAAUUUUAUAGUCACACUUCUUCCAAGUUUCUGACUAUUGGCCAGUUACCACCUUCAAAUCACUGUAGAUCUGUUUCCCUAGUUAUCUUUUUCUAGACAGAAUGCAUAACCAUGUAUACUGCUCAUAGUUUUGCCUACUGAGAGGAUGUCCUUUCUCAUUAUCCUUCAGGGCCGUAGAUGGAUUUAUUAUUUAUCUAUAGUUAACUAACCACUCUGAGAUUUAGCAGUUUAAAGUAACAGUACCGAAUUUUAUUCACAAAUAUGACUUUGGGGCAAGGCUCAGCAAGGAUGGCACAUUUUUAUGCCAUGUGGGGUUAGCUGGGAAACUUGACUGGGGUCUAAUCGAGGGACUUUCAAUUUGACUUAUUCAGGUGUCUGCCACAUUAGUGCUGGCAUUUGGCUGAGACUUAUCCAAGACUGUGGACCAGUUUCCUCACCAGGGUGGAAAGUCCAUGAGACUGUUGUUUUUUUACCUCGUACUCCAUAGGCCUGUGUGAAUCCACCAUCUGCCUAUACAAAUAGUCUAUGAAAACAACCCGUGAGUGCCACACUUAGAGAAAGAUUAAGGAAAGCAAGAUCAUUUAAAUUCUGUUGCAGUGUGGUGAAAUGUCUUAAAAUACAGAAUGGAGGAAAUGAUCAGACCUUUCAGAGAAACCAAAAUCUUCAACAGAAGAAAACUGAAUGGAAUUUCAAGGAAGUUUUAAACACAUAGAAGGCACAUUGGGG
RNAcentral lists this long non-coding RNA (1041 nucleotides) under Heterocephalus glaber (naked mole-rat). Its description in RNAcentral is "lncRNA (ENSHGLG00100041449.1)". The record is from RNAcentral. Lineage: Eukaryota; Metazoa; Chordata; Mammalia; Rodentia; Bathyergidae.